GGGGAAUCUUAGACAAUGGGGGAAACCCUGAUCUAGCCAUGCCGCGUGAGCGAUGAAGGCCUUAGGGUUGUAAAGCUCUUUCAGUGGGGAAGAUAAUGACGGUACCCACAGAAGAAGCCCCGGCUAACUCCGUGCCAGCAGCCGCGGUAAUACGGAGGGGGCUAGCGUUGUUCGGAAUUACUGGGCGUAAAGCGCACGUAGGCGGACUGGAAAGUCAGAGGUGAAAUCCCAGGGCUCAACCUUGGAACUGCCUUUGAAACUCCUGGUCGUGAGGUCGAGAGAGGUGAGUGGAAUUCCGAGUGUAGAGGUGAAAUUCGUAGAUAUUCGGAGGAACACCAGUGGCGAAGGCGGCUCACUGGCUCGAUACUGACGCUGAGGGGCGAAAGCGUGGGGAGCAAAC
Molecule: ribosomal RNA, 400 nt
Filed under: uncultured bacterium
Lineage: Bacteria
Description: bacterial SSU rRNA
Rfam family: Bacterial small subunit ribosomal RNA
Source: RNAcentral